This 252-nucleotide ribosomal RNA is filed under the name uncultured bacterium. RNAcentral describes it as "partial 16S ribosomal RNA". It matches the Rfam family "Bacterial small subunit ribosomal RNA", at positions 524 to 776 of the family's 1533-position model. The record is from RNAcentral.
UACGAAGGGGGCUAGCGUUGCUCGGAAUUACUGGGCGUAAGCGCACGUAGGCGGCUUUCUAAGUCGGGGGUGAAAUCCUGGAGCUCAACUCCAGAACUGCCUUCGAUACUGGAAAGCUCGAGUCCGGGAGAGGUGAGUGGAACUGCGAGUGUAGAGGUGAAAUUCGUAGAUAUUCGCAAGAACACCAGUGGCGAAGGCGGCUCACUGGCCCGGUACUGACGCUGAGGUGCGAAAGCGUGGGGAGCAAACAGG